CAGCACCUCAAGUGGUCAGGAUGAUUAUUGGGCCUAAAGCAUCCGUAGCCGGCGCUGUAAGUUUUCGGUUAAAUCUGUACGCUCAACGUACAGGCUGCCGGGAAUACUGCAGCGCUAGGGAGUGGGAGAGGUAGACGGUACUCGGUAGGAAGGGGUAAGAUCCUUUGAUCUAUUGAUGACCACCUGCGGCGAAGGCGGUCUACCAGAACACGUGCGACGGUGAGGGAUGAAAGCUGGGGGAGCAAACCGGAUUAGAUACCCGAGUAGUCC
This 270-nucleotide ribosomal RNA is filed under the name uncultured archaeon. RNAcentral describes it as "partial 16S ribosomal RNA". It matches the Rfam family "Archaeal small subunit ribosomal RNA", at positions 477 to 747 of the family's 1478-position model. The record is from RNAcentral.